GAUGAACGCUGGCGGCGUGCCUAAUACAUGCAAGUCGAGCGAAUUGACAGAGGUGCUUGCACCUCUCGAUUUUAGCGGCGGACGGGUGAGUAACACGUGGGUAACCUACCUAUAAGACUGGGAUAACUUCGGGAAACCGGAGCCAAUACCGGAUAAUAUUUAGCUUCGCAUGAAGCAAUAGUGAAAGACGGUUCUGCUGUCACUUAUAGAUGGACCUGCGGUGUAUUAGCUAGUUGGUGAGGUAACGGCUCACCAAGGCAACGAUACAUAGCCGACCUGAGAGGGUGAUCGGCCACACUGGGACUGAGACACGGCCCAGACUCCUACGGGAGGCAGCAGUAGGGAAUCUUCCGCAAUGGACGAAAGUCUGACGGAGCAACGCCGCGUGAGUGAAGAAGGUUUUCGGAUCGUAAAACUCUGUUGUAAGGGAAGAACAAGUACGUUAGUAACUGAACGUACCUUGACGGUACCUUACCAGAAAGCCACGGCUAACUACGUGCCAGCCGCCGCGGUAA
RNAcentral lists this ribosomal RNA (515 nucleotides) under uncultured bacterium. Its description in RNAcentral is "partial 16S ribosomal RNA". It matches the Rfam family "Bacterial small subunit ribosomal RNA", at positions 28 to 523 of the family's 1533-position model. The record is from RNAcentral.